Daucus carota subsp. sativus is the source of this 1747-nucleotide long non-coding RNA. RefSeq lists it as uncharacterized. The transcript is spliced from 2 exons. NCBI's taxonomy places the organism in Eukaryota, Viridiplantae, Streptophyta, Magnoliopsida, Apiales, Apiaceae. The record is from RefSeq and is a predicted model, not a curated record.
CAAACAUAACAUUUAUUUUGUGCCACUAUAAUUUAUUUAAUAUUUUACUUGAAGGGUACAAUUCCAAGAAGGUAAGGGGUAAGGGAAAGAUAGCGUACCACAUCGAGGGGACUGAGAACAGGGCAUUGGAAGCGGAGCAUAAAAUAGGACAAGGGGGCAACACUACAAAUUACUUACCUGGAUGGGGUCAUAGAUGAUCAAGAAGGUCCAUGGCCUAGGUUAGUAACCUCCAUUGCACUUGUGAGGGGUGCUCGCCUAAGAUCUAUUUAAGUGGUGGAGUCUACAUCAUAAUUUGUGACAGGGGGAAUUGCGUUCGCGCAGUCCCCACAACUCCAGUGAAAACAUAGCUUCACAUAUACAUGCCAUAUUAAUUUCUAUAUUCAGAUGCUCCGUUAAGAGUAAUAAUACAAGAAAUCAGUUCUUUAUCCGGCCUGGAAACAUAUAUCACUAUGUCAUCAACAAAAUGCAGAUAUAUAAUCACAACAAUAGAAGAGGAACUUCAGAGCGAGAAAGUCAAAAAAUUUCUUCAACUCCGUCGAAGCUUUUCAACAAAAAUAAGUUUUCACCUCAUACUGUUACAUGACAUUACAGAUCAGAUAUAUAGCUUAUUGUAAUCUUUUGAGUAGAACUAAUGCAUAGUAUUACAAUAUCUUUAUAUGUGUAUAUUCACUUCAGUUAUUAUCCCACAUCGGGAACAUCAACAACCCUGCUUGCUUGAAAUAUGAACUCAAUUCUCCUGUCAAGUUUGUGUUCGUAGAAAGGAGAGAUGGUUGGCAUCUCCCCUGACAGGGACGGGAACUGCUCUCUUGAGCAUUACCUGUUACCACACAUCCGGUUAAGGCUUUCCACUUCGGCGGAUCUUAUAACCCAAUUUUUUUUUUUGGUCGUAACUAUUGCUCAUGGGAUGAUCUUAGGCUAUGCAUUCAUUCCUAAGGAACAUAUUGAACCUAUACAAGUAGUGACUUGUCGAGCAGCAUGCCUUUUUAAUAAUCAGAACACGCGGCUACUUAAUGAAUCAAAGUGAAAAUUAAUGUUGUGUUUGGUUGGGGUGAAUGAUUCUGGAAGGAAUGUAAUGAAAAAUGAACUAUAUUAUGAAUAAUUAUUAAGAAAUUCCAUUCCUUCCUCCAUUCCAUUCCUUACCUCAUUUGCUAAAUAUCACACCUUAGAUGGAAUGCUCCAUUCUCUCCCAUCCUCAAUUUCUUCUCAAAACUCAUCAUAGCAAUUUUGCACUCCUUCAAUUUUAUUUCAAAACUUUCUUCCUAUCUCUAUUUAGUUUCAUGUAUUUUUAUUCAUUCCAUUCCACUCUCCCCAACCAAACACAACAUAAGUGUGGAACUGUAAGAAGAGGAAAAAGUAGAGUACAAUCAAAUGAAACUUAAUAAUGUACUGGUUUUACAUGGUUGCCGAUUUCAAAGAGGUGUACAAUUUUAGCUUACAGGGAUAAACCAGAUUCCUCGUCCUCAUCAAGGCCGGAGGUGUAAACAAAGUAAAGCGACCAAAUCAAACCAAACAUGCCCAAAAGGAUCCAACCAAGAAGGUUGUUGCUCAAGCCAAAUGGAAGUCCAGUUCCUUCCGUGCUCAAUCUUUCAUCAACUAGUGCCAUGGCUGCAGGGCUCGACAUGGCUGCAGCAGUAGCAGCAGCCAUCAAUGAUGCUCCCAUAUCCACCUUGGUGCUGCCCUUUUGCGAUCCAGUGUUGGCUUUCAUUGAGCACCUCACCUUUCCGACUUUUGGCAUGACUGGCAAUCC